CUCGAAAUCUGCAGACAUCUUGAUUUUUCCCACGCUGUCUGUCAGGUCUCCGCCGCCACUCGACGCCAGGGCGCCGGGCCUUGUGGGCUGUGCUGCACCUCGGACGGCUUCGCACCAGCCAGCGCCCUCUCUCUCCUGCAGCACUCUGAUCUGCACCCCCUGAGGGGCUUCCACUGUCCGCGGGGUGAGAAUGCCCCUGGGAAUGUCACAUGACUGCCGCCCCAUGUGUGUGAGAGGUGUCCUCUGGGAGAGCAUGGAUCCUGAGGUCCCAGGAACAUCCCGAGAGCCAAGUUCCCAGAUGCCAGCCAAGGGCCAUCUGACCUGUUUUGAAUCUCAAUUUCCUGAUACAGAAAACAAAGGAUUGUCAGCUGACCUCUGUCCUGUGUGCCCAGUGGCCCCAGGUGACGUGUCUUCAAGAAGAGGCUGAGCUGCGGUGCUUGUAAGGGUCUCACUCUGUCACCCAGGCGGCUGGAGUGCAGUGGUGCAAUGAUGGCUCACUGCAGCCUCGACCUGGGCUCAAGUGAUCCUCCACCUCAGCUUCCCGAGUAGCUGGGACCACAGAGUCAUGUGCUGUUCCUGGGGCUUGGAUGAUGUAGGGGAAGCAAGGUGAAAGUGGUAUCCCGUGGUUCCACGUUCUGUCCUGCUGUGGGGCUGUCCCUCACAUGCCUUCAGUGGCUGUUGCAGAGGAAGAGCCUCCGGAAAUCUGCGUGGGUAAAGUGAGCUCCCCGGGGGAACCGUCCUCCUCCCUUGAGCGCUGGUGUGUCCACAGUGUGCUGUGAUCUGGAUUAGCAGUGAGUUUUUCUUUCAGGGUGUGUGUGUAUGAUGUUAGGACCAUAUGCUCCUGACCUUUUCCAACCCAAAAGCAUUUCCAUUUUUUUAAUGCUGGAAGUGUCUUAACUCCUUUUGGGGUCUUAGAAGGACACACGGUGGCCGUGGCUGGGCCUCUGCUCAGCUGGGCUGCUCUCCCUGCCUCAGGCCAUUCCUCAGGCCCUUGACACCAGCCUCCCUCCCUUGCUGGCUCUCUUUCUGUCCUUCCCUGCUCUUGUAUCCAAAAGUGAUCAUGGGUUGCCUGUGUCCCGAUCAUUAACAGUGCAGGGGCAGGAGUGCUGAAAGACAUCUUCCCUGCGUUGGUCCAGCCUUCCCUUUCAAACCAGGGAGCUUUCCCACGCUGCAGCCUUUUUCCAACUAGCCUUUCAGAGCUUGGGCCUUUGUGGGCCCAUGUGAUGUGGUGACUAGACCCCCCCCUGACUUCUGAGGGUUCAUUUUGUCUUUUCAUGUUAGGGAUCCUCCUGCCAGAAACCAGUCUGCAUUUCUCUCUGGGCCCCACGCUGGAAUGAAUUCAGUUAGCAGUGAAGGGCACACGUGAGAACUGCAAAUCACGGGCUUUGCUUCAUGAAAUGUGAAAUCCACAUUGUUUCCACAGGCACCUCAGUAAUGUCGAACAAAUGGAGAAAGUUGUAGGUGGGGCUAGGAAAGCUGUAUUCCUGUGGAUUACUCUAGCUGGUCAUUUGCCCCGAUUGUGAACUGCUUGAAAGAAAAACAAAACUUCUAAGAUGUUUGUCCUUUCAUGUCCUUUAUGUUGGGAUUUUUUAUUUGGUGUGCGUGAAUGAGGAGCUUCGCCCUGCUUGAAUGGGACCCCUCUCAGUGGUGUCAGCUUGGGGAGGAGGAGAUGGCCCUGGAGACUAAAUACGUGUAUGCUUUCUUACCCUCUUAGGUCUCAGCCUUAGAUCCAAGGACAGUCCAAGGAAGUCCUAAGACCAUGGAGUUGGUGAUCUGGGAUCUGGGUUUGCUGAUAUUUCUCACCAUGAAUCUCUUGGUGGUGUUUGUGGGCAUGAGAGGGGCAGAGAAUAGAGAGUGAGGCUACCACAUGAAGCGUCACCAGAGCUGCUCCCUGCUGCCUGCUCAGAGCACCCCGGAUCCACUGUUCAAUCUGCACAAGAUUCGGGGUCCAGACAUGGGAGACUUCAGCUGCCUCAGAGGACCGUGGACAGGGAAGGCCAGCCUCGCAUCCCUCUGUCCAUGCCUGGAAUGACUUUAAUAACCAAGAGUUUUAUUCUUGAAUUUGUAGCUGUCGUUCACUUUUUACCCACCCAUUCAAUAAACCUUACAGAAUUG
This 2115-nucleotide small RNA is filed under the name Pan troglodytes (chimpanzee). RNAcentral describes it as "retained intron". The stretch from base 1041 to 1168 matches the Rfam family "Small nucleolar RNA SNORA71". The record is from RNAcentral. Lineage: Eukaryota; Metazoa; Chordata; Mammalia; Primates; Hominidae.